This 864-nucleotide unclassified non-coding RNA is filed under the name Hevea brasiliensis (rubber tree). Lineage: Eukaryota; Viridiplantae; Streptophyta; Magnoliopsida; Malpighiales; Euphorbiaceae. The record is from RNAcentral.
UUUUUUCUUCUUUUUCCCCUUUUCAGUUUGCACUCCAGCUUCAGUGUUCUAGUGCCAUUCGCAUUAUUGCCCCAAACCUUUAGCAAAACUAACGUCUUUUCAUGAGUUUAUACUGAAACUCCUCUCUAUUUCACAGUAUUCUUAGCUCUAUUAGCCAUUUCUUGGCACUAUAAGCACUAGGUCUUAUGAAUUUUGAUUCAAUUUGAGAAAUUUCAAAGUACCUUAUUACAUUCUUAGGUGUUGUCACUUUUCCAGGUGCUAUGUGAAAUCUAAGCUUAAAUUUGUGUUUGAACAUAUUUGGAGUUGUGUUAAUGCUAUGAUUACCUCUAAAUUUAUAUUUGUAGAAAUGGCACUACCUCCCCUGCUACAGGUACCUUGAAAACUCUGUUAAGUACCAUCUCCCCUACUACAGGUAUCUCACCAAUUGGUUCCUUUGGUACUUGGGUGUUUUACUCUACCUGCCUAACUCAUUUGCCCAAGUUGUAAAAGGUAAUAAUUAAACUACCUGCUAGAUCAUACUUGCUCUAUUGUACAUUUUAUGCUUGCUUUGUAGGUUGUGUGUUUGGUUAUUAACUUCGAAGAUUAGUCCAAGCUGAGCCUCUAUUUCAAUAAGUCCCUAGUACAUGUUUUUCAUAAUUUGAAACUCUUGAAACCAACUCCCUUGGUCAUUUCCCUAGGUACCUUUUGUUGAUCCACUUUUCUGUCUUUAUAUGUAGAACCUUUAUGUGGAAAAUGUGAGUGUAAGUCCUCUAGCACUUCCUCAUUAGGUGCUGGUAUUACCUUUCUCCUUUUGAAAUACUAGGGAGUUGUCUAUCUAGCUUUGUUCUAGAGCUAUUUAUUGAAUCCAAGUUUCCUCUAAGGAUU